UGCCAGCAGCCGCGGUAAUACGAGGGGUGCUAGCGUUGUCCGGAUUUACUGGGCGUAAAGGGUACGUAGGCGGAUUGGAGAGUUGGGGGUGAAAUCCCGGGGCUCAACCCCGGAACUGCCUCCAAAACUGCCAGUCUAGAGUUCGAGAGAGGUGAGUGGAACUCCAAGUGUAGAGGUGAAAUUCGUAGAUAUUUGGAAGAACACCAGUGGCGAAGGCGGCUCACUGGCUCGAUACUGACGCUGAGGUGCGAAAGUGUGGGGAGCAAACAGGAUUAGAUA
This 279-nucleotide ribosomal RNA is filed under the name uncultured bacterium. RNAcentral's name for it is "partial 16S ribosomal RNA". It matches the Rfam family "Bacterial small subunit ribosomal RNA", at positions 506 to 784 of the family's 1533-position model. The record is from RNAcentral.